CCUACGGGGGGCUGCAGUGGGGAAUAUUGCACAAUGGGGGAAACCCUGAUGCAGCGACGCCGCGUGAGUGAAGAAGUAUUUCGGUAUGUAAAGCUCUAUCAGCAGGGAAGAAGAAAGACGGUACCUGACUAAGAAGCCCCGGCUAACUACGUGCCAGCAGCCGCGGUAAUACGUAGGGGGCAAGCGUUAUCCGGCUUUACUGGGUGUAAAGGGAGCGUAGACGGCUGUGCAAGUCUGAAGUGAAAGCCCAGGGCUCAACCCUGGGACUGCUUUGGAAACUGUGGAGCUAGAGUGCUGGAGAGGUAAGUGGAAUUCCUAGGGUAGCGGUGAACUGCUUAGCUAUUAGGAGGAACCCCAGUGGCGACGGCGGCUUACUGGACAGUAACUGACGUUGAGGCUCGAAAGCGUGGGGAGCAAACAGGAUUAGAUACCCUAGUAGUC
This 441-nucleotide ribosomal RNA is filed under the name uncultured bacterium. Its description in RNAcentral is "partial 16S ribosomal RNA". It matches the Rfam family "Bacterial small subunit ribosomal RNA", at positions 338 to 795 of the family's 1533-position model. The record is from RNAcentral.